CGGGGCGUAGCGCAGCCUGGUAGCGUACAUGUAUGGGGUGCAUGUGGUCGGAGGUUCAAAUCCUCUCGCCCCGACCA
This 77-nucleotide transfer RNA is filed under the name Polynucleobacter necessarius STIR1. RNAcentral's name for it is "tRNA-Pro (GGG) (tRNA-Pro-GGG-1-1)". It matches the Rfam family "tRNA". Rfam says of the family: Transfer RNA (tRNA) molecules are approximately 80 nucleotides in length. Their secondary structure includes four short double-helical elements and three loops (D, anti-codon, and T loops). The record is from RNAcentral. Lineage: Bacteria; Pseudomonadati; Pseudomonadota; Betaproteobacteria; Burkholderiales; Burkholderiaceae.